AUUGAACGCUGGCGGCAGGCUUAACACAUGCAAGUCGAGCGGGGUGAUGGUGCUUGCACUAUCACUUAGCGGCGGACGGGUGAGUAAUGCUUAGGAAUCUGCCUAUUAGUGGGGGACAACAUCUCGAAAGGGAUGCUAAUACCGCAUACGUCCUGCGGUAGAAAGCAGGGGAUCACUUGUGACCUUGCGCUAAUAGAUGAGCCUAAGUCGGAUUAGCUAGUUGGUGGGGUAAAGGCCUACCAAGGCGACGAUCUGUAGCGGGUCUGAGAGGAUGAUCCGCCACACUGGGACUGAGACACGGCCCAGACUCCUACGGGAGGCAGCAGUGGGGAAUAUUGGACAAUGGGGGGAACCCUGAUCCAGCCAUGCCGCGUGUGUGAAGAAGGCCUUAUGGUUGUAAAGCACUUUAAGCGAGGAGGAGGCUCUUUUGGUUAAUACCCAAGAUGAGUGGACGUUACUCGCAGAAUAAGCACCGGCUAACUCUGUGCCAGCAGCCGCAGUAA
RNAcentral lists this ribosomal RNA (503 nucleotides) under uncultured bacterium. RNAcentral's name for it is "partial 16S ribosomal RNA". It matches the Rfam family "Bacterial small subunit ribosomal RNA", at positions 30 to 523 of the family's 1533-position model. The record is from RNAcentral.